GAGUUUGAUUCUGGCUCAGGAUGAACGCUAGCUACAGGCUUAACACAUGCAAGUCGAGGGGCAUCAUGCAGGUUGCUUGCGAUCUGUGAUGGCGACCGGCGCACGGGUGAGUAACGCGUAUCCAACCUACCUUCGGCAGGGGCAUAACCCGGUGAAAGCCGGCCUAAUUCCCCAUGGUCCCCGUUGAUGUCAUCUGAUUCGGGGUAAAGGUGUUUUUUCCGGCCGUUGAUGGGGAUGCGUCCGAUUAGUUAGUUGGCGGGGUAAAGGCCCACCAAGACAGUGAUCGGUAGGGGUUCUGAGAGGAAGAUCCCCCACAUUGGGACUGAGACACGGCCCAAACUCCUACGGGAGGCAGCAGUGAGGAAUAUUGGUCAAUGGGCGUAAGCCUGAACCAGCCAAGUAGCGUGGAGGACGACCGCCCUAUGGGUUGUAAACUCCUUUUAUGCGGGAAUAAAUUUCGGGACGCGUUCCCGUAGGGCAU
RNAcentral lists this ribosomal RNA (481 nucleotides) under Prevotella sp. canine oral taxon 195. RNAcentral's name for it is "bacterial SSU rRNA". It matches the Rfam family "Bacterial small subunit ribosomal RNA", at positions 9 to 474 of the family's 1533-position model. The record is from RNAcentral. Lineage: Bacteria; Pseudomonadati; Bacteroidota; Bacteroidia; Bacteroidales; Prevotellaceae.